This 254-nucleotide ribosomal RNA is filed under the name uncultured bacterium. RNAcentral describes it as "partial 16S ribosomal RNA". It matches the Rfam family "Bacterial small subunit ribosomal RNA", at positions 524 to 776 of the family's 1533-position model. The record is from RNAcentral.
UACGGGGGGGGGCAAGCGUUGUUCGGAAUUACUGGGCGUAAAGGGCUCGUAGGUGGCCAACUAAGUCAGACGUGAAAUCCCUCGGCUUAACCGGGGAACUGCGUCUGAUACUGGAUGGCUUGAGUUCGGGAGAGGGAUGCGGAAUUCCAGGUGUAGCGGUGAAAUGCGUAGAUAUCAGGGGGAACACCGGUGGCGAAGGCGGGCCUCUGGGCCGAUACUGACGCUGAGGAGCGAAAGCGUGGGGAGCGAACAGG